AGUGAACGCUGGCGGUAGGCCUAACACAUGCAAGUCGAACGGCAGCACAGUAAUAGCUUGCUCUUACGGGUGGCGAGUGGAGGACGGGUGAGGAAUACAUCUGAAUCUACUUUUUCGUGGGGGAUAACGUAGGGAAACUUACGCUAAUACCGCAUACGACCUACGGGUGAAAGCAGGGGAUCUUCGGACCUUUCGCGAUUGAAUGAGCCGAUUUCGGAUUAGCUAGUUGGCGGGGUAAAGGCCCACCAAGGCGACGAUCCGUAGCUGGUCUGAGAGGAUGAUCAGCAACACUGGAACUGAGACACGGUCCAGACUCCUACGGGAGGCAGCAGUGGGGAAUAGUGGACAAGGGGCGCAAGCCUGAGCCAGCCAUACCGCGUGGGUGAAGAAGGCCUUCGGGUUGUAAAGCCCUUUUGUUGGGAAAGAAAAGCAGCAGGUUAAGACCCCGCUGUUCUGACGGUACCCAAAGAAUAAGCACCGGCUAACUUCGUG
This 492-nucleotide ribosomal RNA is filed under the name uncultured bacterium. RNAcentral's name for it is "partial 16S ribosomal RNA". It matches the Rfam family "Bacterial small subunit ribosomal RNA", at positions 29 to 507 of the family's 1533-position model. The record is from RNAcentral.